AUAAUCUUUUUAAUUCUUAUUUACAUUUUUAACUGAUAAAUUAUGAAUAUAAAACUUAAAAUUAAUUUAAAUUCAAAAAUAAAAGGACACCAACAUAGAUUUCUUAAACAUUAAAAUUUUUCUAUAAGUUUAGACUACAUUUAAUCAGCACAUUAGUUGAAGUUUUAUAGGAACCGAACAUUUGGCUGACCAUGGACUACCCACCGACGGAGAAUUUGUCACAAAGCUGAUGGGAAAUGUGUCGGCGGCACUCGGCUUCGUUUCAACCCGGAGGAAGAUCGGCAGCAUCAAUAAGAAGUUCAUCCUAAUAUCAACUGUCCAAAGGAUUUUGAAGAAUAAUUCGUCACAAAGUUGAUGGAAAAUGUAUUGGCUGUGUUUCAACAUGGAGGACGUCUGGCAGCAACAAAAAGAAAUUCAACUGAUAAUCAACUGUCGAAAGGAUUUGUUUUGAAGAAGAAUUUGUCGCAAAGCUGAUGGGAAAUGUGUCGGCGGCUUCGUUUCAACCCGGAGGAAGAUUGGCAGCAUCGACGAGAAGCUCAUCUUAAUAUUAUUAGUAGUAUAUAUUGUAGUUGUAAUGAUGUAGUAUAUAAUAUUUAAGUAGUUUAUUUCUUUACAUAUUUAUUUAAUAGCUCAUC
Rhopalosiphum maidis (corn leaf aphid) is the source of this 635-nucleotide long non-coding RNA. RefSeq lists it as uncharacterized. NCBI's taxonomy places the organism in Eukaryota, Metazoa, Arthropoda, Insecta, Hemiptera, Aphididae. The transcript is spliced from 3 exons. The record is from RefSeq and is a predicted model, not a curated record.